RNAcentral lists this ribosomal RNA (426 nucleotides) under uncultured bacterium. RNAcentral's name for it is "partial 16S ribosomal RNA". It matches the Rfam family "Bacterial small subunit ribosomal RNA", at positions 355 to 774 of the family's 1533-position model. The record is from RNAcentral.
UGGGGAAUAUUGCACAAUGGGCGCAAGCCUGAUGCAGCCAUGCCGCGUGUAUGAAGAAGGCCUUCGGGUUGUAAAGUACUUUCAGCGGGGAGGAAGGCGAUGCGGUUAAUAACCGCGUCGAUUGACGUUACCCGCAGAAGAAGCACCGGCUAACUCCGUGCCAGCAGCCGCGGUAAUACGGAGGGUGCAAGCGUUAAUCGGAAUUACUGGGCGUAAAGCGCACGCAGGCGGUCUGUCAAGUCGGAUGUGAAAUCCCCGGGCUCAACCUGGGAACUGCAUCCGAAACUGGCAGGCUUGAGUCUCGUAGAGGGGGGUAGAAUUCCAGGUGUAGCGGUGAAAUGCGUAGAGAUCUGGAGGAUACCGGUGGCGAAGGCGGCCUCCUGGACGAAGACUGACGCUCAGGUGCGAAAGCGUGGGGAGCAAACA